RNAcentral lists this ribosomal RNA (1299 nucleotides) under uncultured Acinetobacter sp. RNAcentral's name for it is "bacterial SSU rRNA". It matches the Rfam family "Bacterial small subunit ribosomal RNA", at positions 57 to 1350 of the family's 1533-position model. The record is from RNAcentral. Lineage: Bacteria; Pseudomonadati; Pseudomonadota; Gammaproteobacteria; Moraxellales; Moraxellaceae.
GCAGUAGAAGCUGAAGGAGGAGCUUGCUCUUCUGGAUGAGUUGCGAACGGGUGAGUAACGCGUAGGUAACCUGCCUGGUAGCGGGGGAUAACUAUUGGAAACGAUAGCUAAUACCGCAUACGCCCUACGGGGGAAAGCAGGGGAUCUUCGGACCUUGCGCUAAUAGAUGAGCCUAAGUCAGAUUAGCUAGUUGGUGGGGUAAAGGCCUACCAAGGCGACGAUCUGUAGCGGGUCUGAGAGGAUGAUCCGCCACACUGGGACUGAGACACGGCCCAGACUCCUACGGGAGGCAGCAGUGGGGAAUAUUGGACAAUGGGCGAAAGCCUGAUCCAGCCAUGCCGCGUGUGUGAAGAAGGCCUUUUGGUUGUAAAGCACUUUAAGCGAGGAGGAGGCUACUUGGAUUAAUACUCUAGGAUAGUGGACGUUACUCGCAGAAUAAGCACCGGCUAACUCUGUGCCAGCAGCCGCGGUAAUACAGAGGGUGCGAGCGUUAAUCGGAUUUACUGGGCGUAAAGCGUGCGUAGGCGGCUUUUUAAGUCGGAUGUGAAAUCCCUGAGCUUAACUUAGGAACUGCAUUCGAUACUGGGAAGCUAGAGUAUGGGAGAGGAUGGUAGAAUUCCAGGUGUAGCGGUGAAAUGCGUAGAGAUCUGGAGGAAUACCGAUGGCGAAGGCAGCCAUCUGGCCUAAUACUGACGCUGAGGUACGAAAGCAUGGGGAGCAAACAGGAUUAGAUACCCUGGUAGUCCAUGCCGUAAACGAUGUCUACUAGCCGUUGGGGCCUUUGAGGCUUUAGUGGCGCAGCUAACGCGAUAAGUAGACCGCCUGGGGAGUACGGUCGCAAGACUAAAACUCAAAUGAAUUGACGGGGGCCCGCACAAGCGGUGGAGCAUGUGGUUUAAUUCGAUGCAACGCGAAGAACCUUACCUGGUCUUGACAUAGUAAGAACUUUCCAGAGAUGGAUUGGUGCCUUCGGGAACUUACAUACAGGUGCUGCAUGGCUGUCGUCAGCUCGUGUCGUGAGAUGUUGGGUUAAGUCCCGCAACGAGCGCAACCCUUUUCCUUAUUUGCCAGCGGGUUAAGCCGGGAACUUUAAGGAUACUGCCAGUGACAAACUGGAGGAAGGCGGGGACGACGUCAAGUCAUCAUGGCCCUUACGACCAGGGCUACACACGUGCUACAAUGGUCGGUACAAAGGGUUGCUACCUAGCGAUAGGAUGCUAAUCUCAAAAAGCCGAUCGUAGUCCGGAUUGGAGUCUGCAACUCGACUCCAUGAAGUCGGAAUCGCUGUAAUCGCGGAUC